GAGUUUGAUCUUGGCUCAGAUUGAACGCUGGCGGCAUGCUUUACACAUGCAAGUCGAACGCGAAAGGGGGGCAACCCCUGAGUAGAGUGGCGCACGGGUGAGUAAUGCAUCGGAACGUGUCCUGUAAUGGGGGAUAACUUAGCGAAAGCUAAGCUAAUACCGCAUACGUCCUACGGGAGAAAGUGGGGGAUCGAAAGACCUCACGUUAUAGGAGCGGCCGAUGCCGGAUUAGCUAGUUGGUGAGGUAAAGGCUCACCAAGGCGACGAUCCGUAGCUGGUCUGAGAGGAUGAUCAGCCACACUGGGACUGAGACACGGCCCAGACUCCUACGGGAGGCAGCAGUGGGGAAUUUUGGACAAUGGGGGGAAACCCUGAUCCAGCCAUGCCGCGUGAGUGAAGAAGGCC
This 405-nucleotide ribosomal RNA is filed under the name uncultured beta proteobacterium. RNAcentral describes it as "bacterial SSU rRNA". It matches the Rfam family "Bacterial small subunit ribosomal RNA", at positions 9 to 416 of the family's 1533-position model. The record is from RNAcentral. Lineage: Bacteria; Pseudomonadati; Pseudomonadota; Betaproteobacteria.